Molecule: non-coding RNA, 836 nt
Organism: Ictidomys tridecemlineatus (thirteen-lined ground squirrel)
Lineage: Eukaryota; Metazoa; Chordata; Mammalia; Rodentia; Sciuridae
Source: RefSeq, a predicted model, not a curated record
AUGGCAACUGGCUACCUAAUUAGAAGUGACUGCACUGAUUUGAUGUCAAAAUGGAAUCAGCCAAAUGAUGGCCAGAGCUUGGAGGCUGAACCAGUGGAUUCAAUGAUUCAGAGAGGAAGUGUUACACAGAAACAUUAUUCAUAAUAACCCCCAAAUGGGAAAAACCCCAAAUUCUAUCAACUGGAUGAAUGGAUAAAUAAAAUAUGGUGUCUCCAUACCAUGGAAUAUUAUUAGGCAAUAAAAAGGAAUGAAAGACUAUAUAUGCUACAACAUAGGAAGAACCUUGGAAAGAUUGUGCUGAAUGAAAGAAGCCAAGCACAAAGUCUACCUAUUAUAUGGAUAUCAAGAAUAGGCAAAUCAAAUUCCUUUUGUAUCUGAUUGAGAUUCAAAUGUCUCCUUGAGACCAAGCAGAUGGGGAAACAGAGGCACAGCAAGCAGAGGGAACUUGUCCAAAGUCAUCAGGGCCCUGUCAAGCCAUGCACUUCCCUGUUGAGUGUGCCCUGCUUUCCAAACCCAGCAGGGAAAUUGCCCAACAGAGGAGAUGCCCACUGCCUUCAGGAGAUGGCUCAUCUGCUCUUCUCUGGAUUGUCAGGGAGGACAUGCCUAGACUAGCCCGUGGGUGCCAGGAGGAGGAUAAACGUCUCGUGGAACAGAACCACAUCAGCCCAACACCCUAGCCGAGCUGAGCCUCCAUCCGUCAAACCCCAGGCAGACCACAGUUGCAAGGGGAGCUUCCCAAGACUGGCAGAGCCACUCAGCGGAGACCAGCCUGUAUCACUUGGGUCUCAGUAGACCCACAGAUGUGGGAACUAAAUAAAUACUCUCUUUCCUCUGUC